Molecule: long non-coding RNA, 997 nt
Organism: Cebus imitator (Panamanian white-faced capuchin)
Lineage: Eukaryota; Metazoa; Chordata; Mammalia; Primates; Cebidae
Exons: 2
Source: RefSeq, a predicted model, not a curated record
UCCAAAGAAGUCAUCUUACCAUCCUACACACUUGGCUCUGAUUAUUUUCUUUUUUAUGGAUUGGUUUUCUCUUCCAGGCAGAUUUUCCCCUUGGAGAUAUUAUGUUAGGGUUGAGGAGCAGUGAGGUGAAGAUGGUGGAUAACAGCAAUUGACAGUUUAAGCUUACCUUAUCAUAGCAAGGUUCAAAGCUUUUAUAUAGCAAGCUAUGUAAAAUUUUGGAGAAGUACUUCGAUUUUGCCCAGAUUGGAUCACAUUUGUUUCCUGAGCUGAUCAAGAAAGGAAUUUGCCCAAGGGAUGGGAAAUUUUUAGAAGAAAGCCAUAGGGAGCAGGUGAGGAAAGGUAGUUACUGAGAAUAUAAAAGUAACACCUCCAUUGCACCCUAUUUGAAUAUUAGUAGUAAGAGGUUUCUGUACUAACAGAAAGAGUAAAGUUUAGAUUUAAUCUGUAAGUCUUCAUUGUUUAUAGCUAGAGAUUUUAAUUUCUGUUUGUUCUUAUUGCUGCUUUUUAGUUGCCAUUAUGGGUUUUUGGAUUUUUGUUUUAAUGCCAUCCAUUUUUGUUUGACAUCAUGUUGCUGCUGGUUUGAGCAGAUGUACAUAGCAUAUGUUUUCAUUACCAAUUUGGAUAUUUUUCCCAGUGGCAUCAGCAUUUGAGAAAUGCUGACUUUGAGAUUAGAGUACUAGGGGAAAAUGUUUCAAAAAUGAAAACUAUUUAAAUAAAAAAUUGCUUUAAAUAAAUCUUUGGGGAUCUGUACUUGACUAAAAAGUAUUUUCUUUAAACUUUGGUCUUCGAAAAUUAAAGUGUGUGUGCAUGUGUUCAUUAAAAUGACCUAUAACAUGAACAUUUUCCAUACUGGAGUGUGAUGUACUGCACUCAUUUUGAACUUUAGAACCAAAUGCAUCCUUUUUCAUUUGAUGAGCUACUACAUAACUCUAUUUUCAGUUUUAUUUUCUUGCCAAAUAAAGUACCAAAGCUCAGCAUGACAUUUGGCAACCCCUGA